CCUACGGUGUGCAGCAGUGGGGGAUAUUGCACAAUGGGGGGAACCCUGAUGCAGCGACGCCGCGUGGGUGAAGAAGCGCCUCGGCGCGUAAAGCCCUGUCAGCAGGGAAGAAAAUGACGGUACCUGAAGAAGAAGCCCCGGCUAACUACGUGCCAGCAGCCGCGGUAAUACGUAGGGGGCAAGCGUUAUCCGGAUUUACUGGGUGUAAAGCGCUCGUAGGCGGUAUGUCAAGUCAAGGGUGAAAUCCCCGCGCUCAACGUGGGAACUGCCAUUGAAACUGGCAAACGGGAGUGUGUGAGAGGAUAGUGGAAUUCCAGGUGUAGGAGUGAAAUCCGUAGAUAUCUGGAGGAACAUCAGUGGCGAAGGCGACUAUCUGGCACAUAACUGACGCUGAGGAGCGAAAGCGUGGGUAGCAAACAGGAUUAGAUACCCGGGUAGUC
Molecule: ribosomal RNA, 440 nt
Filed under: uncultured bacterium
Lineage: Bacteria
Description: partial 16S ribosomal RNA
Rfam family: Bacterial small subunit ribosomal RNA
Source: RNAcentral